Molecule: ribosomal RNA, 253 nt
Filed under: uncultured microorganism
Description: partial 16S ribosomal RNA
Rfam family: Bacterial small subunit ribosomal RNA
Source: RNAcentral
UACGUAGGGUGCGAGCGUUAAUCGGACUUACUGGGCGUAAAGCGCGCGCAGGCGGCCCGUUAAGACAGGUGUGAAAUCCCUGGGCUCAACCUAGGAAUUGCGCUUGUGACUGGCGGGCUCGAGUACGGUAGAGGGGGGUGGAAUUCCUGGUGUAGCAGUGAAAUGCGUAGAGAUCAGGAGGAACACCGAUGGCGAAGGCAGCCCCCUGGGCCUGUACUGACGCUCAUGCACGAAAGCGUGGGGAGCAAACAGG